Molecule: ribosomal RNA, 17 nt
Filed under: Bostryx primigenius
Lineage: Eukaryota; Metazoa; Mollusca; Gastropoda; Stylommatophora; Orthalicidae
Description: partial 5.8S ribosomal RNA
Source: RNAcentral
CCGUCUGAGGGUCGGCU